Cyclopterus lumpus (lumpfish) is the source of this 67-nucleotide small nucleolar RNA. Its record names the gene SNORD58. It matches the Rfam family "Small nucleolar RNA SNORD58". From Rfam's summary of the family: snoRNA U58 is found in introns 1, 3 and 6 of the ribosomal protein RPL17 gene in humans. U58 is a member of the C/D class of snoRNA which contain C (UGAUGA) and D (CUGA) box motifs. Most of the members of the box C/D family function in directing site-specific 2'-O-methylation of substrate RNAs. The record is from Ensembl. NCBI's taxonomy places the organism in Eukaryota, Metazoa, Chordata, Actinopteri, Perciformes, Cyclopteridae.
GGGCCGUGAUGAUGACUUAGGACACCUUUGAUUGACUCAUGAAACUCUUAAAUCAACGCUGAGCCGC